AGAUUGAACGCUGGCGGCAGGCCUAACACAUGCAAGUCGAGCGGCAGCACGGGUACUUGUACCUGGUGGCGAGCGGCGGACGGGUGAGUAAUGCCUAGGGAUCUGCCUGAUAGUGGGGGAUAACGCUCGGAAACGGACGCUAAUACCGCAUACGUCCUACGGGAGAAAGCAGGGGACCUUCGGGCCUUGCGCUAUCAGAUGAGCCUAGGUCGGAUUAGCUAGUUGGUGGGUAAUGGCUCACCAAGGCGACGAUCCGUAACUGGUCUGAGAGGAUGAUCAGUCACACUGGAACUGAGACACGGUCCAGACUCCUACGGGAGGCAGCAGUGGGGAAUAUUGGACAAUGGGCGAAAGCCUGAUCCAGCCAUGCCGCGUGUGUGAAGAAGGUCUUCGGAUUGUAAAGCACUUUAAGUUGGAGGUAAGGCAGUUGACCUAAUACGUAUCUGUUUUUAGACGUUACGACUAGAAUAAGCACCGGCUAACUCUGUG
Molecule: ribosomal RNA, 489 nt
Filed under: uncultured soil bacterium
Lineage: Bacteria
Description: bacterial SSU rRNA
Rfam family: Bacterial small subunit ribosomal RNA
Source: RNAcentral